UACGAGGGGGGCAAGCGUUGUUCGGAAUUAUUGGGCGUAAAGGGCGCGUAGGCGGUUUGACAAGUCUGAUGUGAAAUCUCUGGGCUCAACCCAGAGUCUGCAUUAGAAACUGUCGGGCUUGAGUAUGGGAGAGGUGAGUGGAAUUUCCGGUGUAGCGGUGAAAUGCGUAGAUAUCGGAAGGAACACCUGUGGCGAAAGCGGCUCACUGGACCAUAACUGACGCUGAGGCGCGAAAGCUAGGGGAGCAAACAGG
This 253-nucleotide ribosomal RNA is filed under the name Edaphobacter flagellatus. Its description in RNAcentral is "partial 16S ribosomal RNA". It matches the Rfam family "Bacterial small subunit ribosomal RNA", at positions 524 to 776 of the family's 1533-position model. The record is from RNAcentral. RNAcentral also lists the same sequence under 3 other names. Lineage: Bacteria; Pseudomonadati; Acidobacteriota; Terriglobia; Terriglobales; Acidobacteriaceae.